RNA transcript from Morus notabilis, 1209 nucleotides. RefSeq lists it as uncharacterized. The record is from RefSeq and is a predicted model, not a curated record. The transcript has 3 exons. NCBI's taxonomy places the organism in Eukaryota, Viridiplantae, Streptophyta, Magnoliopsida, Rosales, Moraceae.
CAAGAAAGACACAAGAUUCCUAACCUAUAGAGCGGGGGCAACGCGUGGGACCCACCGACCACAGCGUCGCGAAGAGGAUGACGGCGGCGACAGGCAUAGGCGGAGCAGGCAGUGAGAUCGGCGGGUGCGAAAGGCUGCAGCGGGCGCUUGGCGAUUGCCACCGGCGGUUGCCGCCUGGGCCGGCGCGGGAGUCGGCUUGCCGCCACCUGAAUCGCGCCCUGGCGGAGUGCCUCGUGUCGGCUGCUUGCCCCGACGAGUGCGAGGCCAUCCGCAGCCUCUGCUCCAGCGCCGGUACCGCACUGAAGCGCUCUCAGUGCCAAGACGCCCAGCUCUCCCUCUCUCUCUGCCUCUCCUCACUUCAACUGCCUCCCUAGCUAAUAUCCUUUAAAAAUGACAUAAAAAGAAAAGGAUUACCAAUUGUCGUUUGGUGUUGAAAAUAAUUUGGCAUCUCCACAAUUGGCAGUUCAAUUUGGGAAGAAAAUGUUUUCCUUUUCUAUUAAGGAUGAUGAAUCAGUGCAAAUGAUUCGCCGCAAGACCGAAGAUCGAUUGAGGUGUGUGUAUAUUGUGCUCCUGUUCAAGAUCAACCAACACUUGAGAUGUACAUUCUCCUUUUUUAUAUCUUAAAGAAAAGAUGAUCGGAUUUGGUGUUCAAUUACUUCUUUUUAUCAUAUGGAAAGUGCUCUUAGGGUUUGUGAACGAAAAGGCACCUCAGACAAUACUUAUUGACCAAAAACAUGUCUCUUAAAGAAUCAUUGAGCAUGGAAAUGCCAACAACUACACGUGCACUUCGCAGCAAAAUUUCCUUCCGGGUUCACGAGUGUUUUCAGGGAAUGUUACAAUGAGCGGAAGACCGAGUUUCACCCUGCAAUCUGGAAAAUAGCGAGGAUACAGGAUUCUGAGCUAGGGUGAGGAAGGUGGAAAAAUUCUUUUGGACUCCAACACUUUAUGACUUGUAUGACUAAUGCUCACUUAGUUCAUUACAUUCUUAAAUUACUAUAAUUGGCCAGUCGAAUAUGCUUUAAUCGAACGGUUCCCGAGUGCGCACCAGGCUUUGCUCACUCUGCUCAGUUUUUCAUCAGAAAAUUUGUAUAGUUUCUUGAACUCAAAGAAGGGUAGUUGACUUAGGUUAGGACCAAGGUUCAUGAGGACUUCAACAUCUGAAGCUUGGUUAUUGAUUGUGUAUCUCGUUUGGUCGAAAAAUUAACUGAU